Molecule: ribosomal RNA, 209 nt
Filed under: uncultured bacterium
Lineage: Bacteria
Description: partial 16S ribosomal RNA
Rfam family: Bacterial small subunit ribosomal RNA
Source: RNAcentral
UACGAAGGGGGCUAGCGUUGUUCGGAAUUACUGGGCGUAAAGCGCGCGCAGGUGGUCUUUCAAGUCAGUGGUGAAAGCCCGGAGCUCAACUCCGGAAAUGCCAUUGAAACUGUAAGACUUGAGGAUGAGAGAGGUGAGUGGAAUUCCCAGUGUAGAGGUGAAAUUCGUAGAUAUUGGGAAGAACACCGGUGGCGAAGGCGGCUCACUGG